RNAcentral lists this ribosomal RNA (497 nucleotides) under uncultured bacterium. Its description in RNAcentral is "partial 16S ribosomal RNA". It matches the Rfam family "Bacterial small subunit ribosomal RNA", at positions 28 to 507 of the family's 1533-position model. The record is from RNAcentral.
GACGAACGCUGGCGGCGUGCCUAAUACAUGCAAGUUGAGCGCUGAAGGUUGGUACUUGUACCAACUGGAUGAGCAGCGAACGGGUGAGUAACGCGUGGGGAAUCUGCCUUUGAGCGGGGGACAACAUUUGGAAACGAAUGCUAAUACCGCAUAAAAACUUUAAACACAAGUUUUAAGUUUGAAAGAUGCAAUUGCAUCACUCAAAGAAGAUCCCGCGUUGUAUUAGCUAGUUGGUGAGGUAAAGGCUCACCAAGGCGAUGAUACAUAGCCGACCUGAGAGGGUGAUCGGCCACAUUGGGACUGAGACACGGCCCAAACUCCUACGGGAGGCAGCAGUAGGGAAUCUUCGGCAAUGGACGAAAGUCUGACCGAGCAACGCCGCGUGAGUGAAGAAGGUUUUCGGAUCGUAAAACUCUGUUGGUAGAGAAGAACGUUGGUGAGAGUGGAAAGCUCAUCAAGUGACGGUAACUACCCAGAAAGGGACGGCUAACUACGUG